AUGUGUAGGAUAGGUGGGAGGCUUUGAAGCGUGGACGCCAGUCUGCGUGGAGCCGACCUUGAAAUACCACCCUUUAAUGUUUGAUGUUCUAACGUGGACCCGUGAUCCGGGUUGCGGACAGUGUCUGGUGGGUAGUUUGACUGGGGCGGUCUCCUCCUAAAGAGUAACGGAGGAGCACGAAGGUUGGCUAAUCCUGGUCGGACAUCAGGAGGUUAGUGCAAUGGCAUAAGCCAGCUUGACUGCGAGCGUGACGGCGCGAGCAGGUGCGAAAGCAGGUCAUAGUGAUCCGGUGGUUCUGAAUGGAAGGGCCAUCGCUCAACGGAUAAAAGGUACUCCGGGGAUAACAGGCUGAUACCGCCCAAGAGUUCAUAUCGACGGCGGUGUUUGGCACCUCGAUGUCGGCUCAUCACAUCCUGGGGCUGAAGUAGGUCCCAAGGGUAUGGCUGUUCGCCAUUUAAAGUGGUACGCGAGCUGGGUUUAGAACGUCGUGAGACAGUUCGGUCCCUAUCUGCCGUGGGCGCUGGAGAACUGAGGGGGGCUGCUCCUAGUACGAGAGGACCGGAGUGGACGCAUCACUGGUGUUCGGGUUGUCAUGCCAAUGGCACUGCCCGGUAGCUAAAUGCGGAAGAGAUAAGUGCUGAAAGCAUCUAAGCACGAAACUUGCCCCGA
Molecule: ribosomal RNA, 669 nt
Filed under: Salmonella enterica
Lineage: Bacteria; Pseudomonadati; Pseudomonadota; Gammaproteobacteria; Enterobacterales; Enterobacteriaceae
Description: partial 23S ribosomal RNA
Rfam family: Bacterial large subunit ribosomal RNA
Source: RNAcentral